Molecule: ribosomal RNA, 303 nt
Filed under: Hepatozoon ewingi
Lineage: Eukaryota; Apicomplexa; Hepatozoidae
Description: SSU rRNA
Rfam family: Eukaryotic small subunit ribosomal RNA
Source: RNAcentral
AAUAGGGUUAAAAACAUAAGUUUUUAAAUUACUUCUUAGAAGGACUUUGCGUGUCUAACGCAAGGAAGUUUGAGGCAAUAACAGGUCUGUGAUGCCCUUAGAUGUUCUGGGCUGCACGCGCGCUACAAUGAUGCAUUCAACAAGUCAACAACCUUGGCUGGUAAGUUUAGGUAAUCUUUUGAAUGUGCAUCGUGAUAGGGAUAGAUUAUUGUAAUUAUUAAUCUUAAACGAGGAAUGCCUAGUAAGCGCAAGUCAUCAGCUUGCGCUGAUUACGUCCCUGCCCUUUGUACACACCGCCCGUCG